CAUACGACCGUACCGCAAACCGACACUGGUGCGCGAGAUGAGUAUUCUAAGGCGCUUGAGAGAACUCAGGAGAAGGAACUCGGCAAAUUGACACCGUAACUUCGGAAGAAGGUGUGCCCUAUUAGUGUGUAGUGAACAACGAAGCAUGAAUGGGUUGCAAAAAAUCGGUGGCUGCGACUGUUUAUUAAAAACACAGCACUCUGCAAACACGAAAGUGGACGUAUAGGGUGUGACGCCUGCCCGGUGCUGGAAGAUUAAAUGAUGGGGUGCAAGCUCUUGAUUGAAGUCCCAGUAAACGGCGGCCGUAACGAUAACGGUCCUAAGGUAGCGAAAUUCCUUGUCGGGUAAGUUCCGACCUGCACGAAUGGCGUAACGAUGGCCACACUGUCUCCUCCUGAGACUCAGCGAAGUUGAAAUGUUUGUGAUGAUGCAAUCUCCCCGCGGAAAGACGGAAAGACCCCAUGAACCUUUACUGUAGCUUUGUAUUGGACUUUGAACAGAUCUGUGUAGGAUAGGUGGGAGGCUUUGAAGCAGGGUCGCUAGAUCUUGUGGAGCCAACGUUGAAAUACCACCCUGGUGUGUUUGAGGUUCUAACCUAGGUCCAUUAUCUGGAUCGGGGACAGUGCAUGGUAGGCAGUUUGACUGGGGCGGUCUCCUCCCAAAGCGUAACGGAGGAGUUCGAAGGUACGCUAGUUACGGUCGGACAUCGUGACGAUAGUGCAAUGGCAUAAGCGUGCUUAACUGCGAGACUGACAAGUCGAGCAGAUGCGAAAGCAGGACAUAGUGAUCCGGUGGUUCUGUAUGGAAGGGCCAUCGCUCAACGGAUAAAAGGUACUCUGGGGAUAACAGGCUGAUACCGCCCAAGAGUUCAUAUCGACGGCGGUGUUUGGCACCUCGAUGUCGGCUCAUCUCAUCCUGGGGCUGUAGCCGGUCCCAAGGGUAUGGCUGUUCGCCAUUUAAAGAGGUACGUGAGCUGGGUUUAAAACGUCGUGAGACAGUUUGGUCCCUAUCUUCCGUGGGCGCUGCAGAUUUGAGGAAGCCUGCUCCUAGUACGAGAGGACCGGAGUGGACACACCUCUGGUGUAUCGGUUGUCACGCCAGUGGCAUUGCCGAGUAGCUAAGUGUGGAAGAGAUAACCGCUGAAAGCAUCUAAGCGGGAAACUCGUUUCAAGAUGAGAUCUGCCGGGGCCUUGAGCCCCCUAAAGAGUCGUUCAAGACCAGGACGUUGAUAGGUCAGGUGUGGAAGC
Molecule: ribosomal RNA, 1247 nt
Filed under: metagenome
Description: bacterial LSU rRNA
Rfam family: Bacterial large subunit ribosomal RNA
Source: RNAcentral